GCUUAGCCGUAAAAUAUUAACUCACAACUAUAAGCGCCUGGGAAUUACGGGCUAAGCCUAAAACCCAAAGGACUUGACGGUGUCCCACCCAACUAGAGGAGCCUGUUCUAUAAUCGAUAACCCCCGUUAAACCUGACCUCUCUUUGCUUUCUCAGCCUGUAUACCUCCGUCGUAAAUUCACCCUGUGAAUGCCAAAUAGUGUGAUUCAAUGCCCCUUCGCCAAAACGUCAGGUCAAGGUGCAGCCUAUAGAGAGGGAAGUGAUGGGCUACAAUUUCUAACCUAGAACAAACGGAUUACUAUAUGAAAUUCAAUUAUGAAGGAGGAUUUAGUAGUAAAGAGAAAUUAAUGAGUUCUCUUUAACAUGGCCCUGGGACG
Molecule: ribosomal RNA, 376 nt
Filed under: Minervarya syhadrensis
Lineage: Eukaryota; Metazoa; Chordata; Amphibia; Anura; Dicroglossidae
Description: partial 12S ribosomal RNA
Rfam family: Bacterial small subunit ribosomal RNA
Source: RNAcentral